GGAAACUGUGGCUAAUACCGCAUAAUGUCUACGGACCAAAGUGGGGGACCUUCGGGGCUCACACCUAAGGAUGAGCCCAAGCGGGAUUAGCUAGUUGGUGGGGUAAAGGCUCACCAAGGCGACGAUCCCUAGCUGUUCUGAGAGGAUGAUCAGCCACACUGGGACUGAGACACGGCCCAGACUCCUACGGGAGGCAGCAGUGGGGAAUAUUGCACAAUGGGGGAAACCCUGAUGCAGCCAUGCCGCGUGUGUGAAGAAGGCCUUCGGGUUGUAAAGCACUUUCAGCGACGAGGAAGGGUGUUGUGUUAAUAGCGCAGCACAUUGACGUUAGUCGCAGAAGAAGCACCGGCUAACUCCGUGCC
RNAcentral lists this ribosomal RNA (362 nucleotides) under uncultured bacterium. Its description in RNAcentral is "bacterial SSU rRNA". It matches the Rfam family "Bacterial small subunit ribosomal RNA", at positions 152 to 509 of the family's 1533-position model. The record is from RNAcentral.